Molecule: ribosomal RNA, 218 nt
Filed under: uncultured fungus
Lineage: Eukaryota; Fungi
Description: partial small subunit ribosomal RNA
Rfam family: Eukaryotic small subunit ribosomal RNA (bases 49-218)
Source: RNAcentral
GAUCUGGUUGGGUGGUCCGCCUGACGGCGUGUUUACUGCUUGACCGGGUCUUGCCUCUUGGUGAACCGUUGUGUUCUUUAUUGAAUGCUUCGGGAAACCAGGACUUUUACCUUGAGAAAAUUAGAGUGUUCAAAGCAGGCCUAUGCCUGAAUACAUUAGCAUGGAAUAAUAAAAUAGGACGUGUGGUUCUAUUUUGUUGGUCUUUUAGAGCUGCCGUA